Molecule: long non-coding RNA, 1079 nt
Filed under: Homo sapiens (human)
Lineage: Eukaryota; Metazoa; Chordata; Mammalia; Primates; Hominidae
Description: cancer susceptibility 17
Source: RNAcentral
AGCCCUGGGCAAUUCACCUUUUCUUUAAAUACUCAUGUCACAUUUGUGCUGUUGCCAAUGCUUCUCAGACCCUCCAGAUGAGGACAUUUCCCUGAGGAGGUGGCUAUGAUGGUAGAACUUACAAGACUUCAGUGGACAUAAGGAAGCAAGGAGGCUCUGCAAAGUAGUCUGCAGUGAAAGUGCAGAGAAAGCUGAAGAUGGGGCCCAGGACUUAAUCAUCAGAGCAGCAGAGCACCUAAAGUUAAACUUCCAGCCAUGCAGGCUUGAAAUGCCAAGGAGACGGGGUCAAGGUGGCAGGCAAGAUGGUCAAAUAGAAGUAGCUUCAGUCUGCAGCUCCCAGUGAGAUCAACACAGAAGGAAACAAUGCCAAGAAUACGUUAAUCUAAACCCAUGAUGUUUCUACAUCUCAAAGAACAGAGAGAAAAGGAAACUGGAGAGAGGCCAGAAGUGACCAACUCUAUUCCCUCAUUUCUGUGUUAUACUCCCUUUGUCUAAUCUUCCCUACCCUACCAGGUGGUUUAAGAAUUUUAUCCUUUCUCCAGACUAGAAGAGGAAGUGGGGGCCGGAAUUAGGUGUAUACAAAUUGUUGGAAAGCCUUUGUGUGGAUUUGGAGGGCUGAAGUAGAGUAUCAUUUUUACAAAGCAGCCCAAGCCUCUAAUCUGAGCAGGAAGAUUCACACUCAUUCUCUGGCAUGAGUCCUAUCAGGAGGAUCAAUGAAGCCAAGGCUGUAGAAAUAAAUAAUUAAUCUCUCCACCCAAGGAGGCUAGUAAACAAUAUUCAAUACGUGAAUACUGAGUUCUGCCAAGAGGAAGAAGCAUAUAAACCAGGCAACUGCUGAACGCAUUGCCAAAAAGGGAGACUUACGCAUCAUUCACUAAAGCUUUCCAAAAACUAAAUCAGAUCCAAGAACAGAUAAACUCCUGCAGAAUGACAAUGGUGGAGAAAUUGACCUCCCAGCAUUGCAGACUUACAUCAGUUGUUCUGAUGUUCUUAGUUAUAUCAGAUUCCUUCCAGAAUCUUCUAAAUAUAUCAGACGGUCAGACACAACCCCAGGCCCUAAUAAAAAACCCUGAUGCUGG